UCUCCUUCCAUUUCCAGGCUGUCGGAGGCCAAGCAGCAGCAAAGCCUCGCCAGGCAGGGCCUGAGCCAGCUCCAGCAGCUGCUGCAGGAGGAGCGGGAGAGGCGGCUGGCGGCCGAGGAGGCUUCCUCUGCAGCCCAGGAGCAGAUCCGCAGGUGGGAGUCGGAGGAGUAUGCGCAGUCUCUGGAGACCAGCAUUGCCAUGCCGCCCAGCCAUGAGCACGCCCGGCUGCUGGGGUCUGCCGAGAGCGCCUUCAGCAAGGCUCGAGGGCCCCGGGGGCUGCCGCGUGUCCUGCGCUCUCUCUUCUGCCCCCGGAGGCUGUUCUCCCUGCUGGCCACCCUCUACCUCCUCGGGAUCCACCUGCUGAUAUUCCUGCACGCCGUGGGACGCCUGUGAGAAGACCGAGGCACCGGAACUUGGCUGGACCGCGGACCCCGAUGCCUGGCGGCAGGGGUGGAGGGUUGACCCUGCUGGUCUGGACACCAGGGUGGGGGGGCUUCCCGCGGCCUGGUUGAGGCCGCCAGAGGUCAAGCCCAAUCCUGGUUAGUUAAAGCAGGCGACGGACUUCCUCAGCCCUUGGCGAUGCAGGGUUUGUGCCGCUCCUUCAAGGGAAGCGCCAGGGUUUCGCCGGCCAACUUGGGGUUUCACAUCAUCAGUCCACCGUUGAUUUUGGGGGGUGGGUGGGCAGGAAAGGGCGGAGAGACGACGAUGCCCGC
Molecule: long non-coding RNA, 713 nt
Filed under: Notechis scutatus (mainland tiger snake)
Lineage: Eukaryota; Metazoa; Chordata; Lepidosauria; Squamata; Elapidae
Description: lncRNA (ENSNSUG00000005312.1)
Source: RNAcentral